UGGGGAAUAUUUCACAAUGGGGGAAACCCUGAUGCAGCGACGCCGCGUGAGCGAAGAAGGUUUUCGAAUCGUAAAGCUCUGUCCUAUGAGAAGAUAAUGACGGUAUCAUAGGAGGAAGCCCCGGCUAAAUACGUGCCAGCAGCCGCGGUAAUACGUAUGGGGCGAGCGUUGUCCGGAAUUAUUGGGCGUAAAGGGUACGUAGGCGGUCUAUUAAGUCAGGUGUGAAAGCGUGAGGCUUAACCUCAUUAAGCACUUGAAACUGAUAGACUUGAGUGAAGGAGAGGGAAGUGGAAUUCCUAGUGUAGCGGUGAAAUGCGUAGAUAUUAGGAGGAAGACCGGUGGCGAAGGCGACUUUCUGGACUUUGACUUACGCUCAGGUACGAAAGCGUGGGGAGCAAACAGG
RNAcentral lists this ribosomal RNA (403 nucleotides) under Verrucomicrobiota bacterium. Its description in RNAcentral is "Verrucomicrobia bacterium partial 16S ribosomal RNA". It matches the Rfam family "Bacterial small subunit ribosomal RNA", at positions 355 to 776 of the family's 1533-position model. The record is from RNAcentral. Lineage: Bacteria; Pseudomonadati; Verrucomicrobiota.